CUACGGGGCGCUCCAGUGGGGAAUAUUGCACAAUGGGCGCAAGCCUGAUGCAGCCAUGCCGCGUGUAUGAAGAAGGCCUUCGGGUUGUAAAGUACUUUCAGCGGGGAGGAAGGGAUUAAAGUUAAUACCUUUGUUCCUUGACGUUACCCGCAGAGGAAGCACCGGCUAACUCCGUGCCAGCAGCCGCGGUAAUACGGAGGGUGCAAGCGUUAAUCGGAAUUACUGGGCGUAAAGCGCACGCAGGCGGUUUGUUAAGUCAGAUGUGAAAUCCCCGGGCUCAACCUGGGAACUGCAUCGGAUACUGGCAAGCUUGAGUCUAGUAGAGGGGGGUAGAAUUCCAGGUGUAGCGGUGAAAUGCGUAGAGAUCUGGAGGAAUACCGGUGGCGAAGGCGGCCCCCUGGACGAAGACUGACGCUCAGGUGCGAAAGCGUGGGGAGCAAACAGGAUUAGAUACCCCUGUAGUC
This 464-nucleotide ribosomal RNA is filed under the name uncultured bacterium. Its description in RNAcentral is "partial 16S ribosomal RNA". It matches the Rfam family "Bacterial small subunit ribosomal RNA", at positions 339 to 795 of the family's 1533-position model. The record is from RNAcentral.